UGGUGGCGGUGAGGGGGAGGCGGGGUGGAGGAGCAGGGUGGGCUCGGGAGGAGAAGAAGGGUUUUUUUUUCCUGUCCGGUCCGGAUGGAGAGAGAGAGAGUCGGGUUUUUCCGGUUCGAAACGGUCCUGGCCGGUUUUUCGUGUAAGAGACUGACUGGUGGGUCAUAUGUGUCAGAAAGAGCAUCUAUACGUAGAAAUAUAUAAUCUGCAAAAUACGGCAUAUGUAUCUUGGUACGUAUUUGUAAAAAAAUUAAAAGAUGGCAUCAACUUGUGAAUACGGCCUGAAUUGUGGUAGUCUUUUGCAAUUAACUCUAUAACUCCUAAUGGGGCAUGCUGGCUCAAGAGAGUAUGUGAUGUACACUUGAUAUGGAUGGCCGUUGGAACACAGAGCUCCUUAACUGCACUUUUGGCCGGCCGACGUGGAUAUCAGUCGAUAUAUCUGUACGUCCCCAAGUCAGGAGGAAGAUUUCAUUGCGUGGUUCCCGGAAAAACAUGCUUGCAACCGAACGCGAACCGGGUGUGGUGGGACCUGAUUUGGCAAGCCUUUAUCCUGCCUAAAAUGCGUUCAUUUGCUUGGAGGGUCACGGUCGACGCCCUUCCAACAAAUUGCAGCAAAGCAAGGAGGCAUCUGAAUGUGCCAGUCCAGUGUCCAUUGUGUGGUCACAGGAAGAGGAUUCAUUCCAUGCCCUAAUCCCGUGUCCGCAUGCAAGGAGGUUGUGGGAAGAAAUGAAAAUUGAAUGGCAACUACCAUAGAAGGACAAGUUGAUUCAUACUGGUUCAGAGUGGCUUUUUGGCAUCUUAGCUUAGCUACCGGCCAUGAUGAGGGCGAUGGUCAUUAUGCUCAUGUGGAGGAUCUGGAUCCUUCGCAAUGACAUGGUCCAUGGAAAAGAGACUCCGCCUCCACAUAUAUCUCGAUCGUAUUUGUGCAGAUAUUUGAGUUCAUAUGAUCAUUAAGGGCAAGUGCCCAGUUAUGGAGUUACCUAUAAGGCAAGCUCAGACCCCAGAGACCAAUAAGCACUGGCCCAAGCCGCCCGCUGGAUGGACUGCGCUGUCGGUGGAUGGCUCGUAUGUGCAAGACAUUCGGGAGGCAAGUACUAGUAUGGUGCUCCGUAACACAGAUGGCUGAGUUAUUCUCUCAUCUUACCAACAUUUGUUUCACUGUAAAAAUGCUUUGCAAGUACAUAUCAAUGCCAUCCUUGAUGGACUAUCUAUGAGUUUGCAACGAACCAAUCUACCGAUAGUAAUCCAAUCCGAUAGUUCAAUGGUCAUUGCUGCAUUAACUAAUGAUUCACUUGACAGAUCUGUCUAUGGUCAUUUGAUGACAGAAAUCAAGAAGCUUCUACAGCUUCGUGGGUUUGUUCCGCUGAAAAUAGAUUGACAUCAAAAUAGUUUUGCUCAUAGUCUAGCUAAAGUUGGAAGAACUGGAGAUUGCAGCGCUUGUUGGUUCCAUCGUGUUCCAGACAGUGUCUUAGAUCUUGAAUUAGCUGAGUGUAACGCUAUUUCUGAGGAAUAAAUACCCACUUUCUCCACAAAAAUAAAACUAGUGAUCCAUCCAUUGACAAAAAUAGAGCAACUUCCAAUAGUUCACAUAUCCCUCAAACAAAAUACCAUUUACAAAAA
Long non-coding RNA from Hordeum vulgare subsp. vulgare (domesticated barley), 1620 nucleotides. RefSeq lists it as uncharacterized. The transcript is spliced from 2 exons. Lineage: Eukaryota; Viridiplantae; Streptophyta; Magnoliopsida; Poales; Poaceae. The record is from RefSeq and is a predicted model, not a curated record.